Molecule: long non-coding RNA, 791 nt
Organism: Gavialis gangeticus (Gharial)
Lineage: Eukaryota; Metazoa; Chordata; Crocodylia; Gavialidae
Exons: 3
Source: RefSeq, a predicted model, not a curated record
GCAAAACAUUUAUUGGAGUGGGUUGUACAAAAAAGUUUCCAGUCAAAAAAAUGUAUAUUACAAAUCAUCGAAAGAGACAAACAUUUGGCAUGCAUAUUCUUAAAACAAAACAGAACCAAAACAAGUGUUUGAAAUGAUAAAGUCUAGAUAAUUUUAUAGUUUUCAUAAGUGUACAUCAAUUUCCAUUGUUUUUAAUAUACUUCAAUUUGCAGAUUUUUUUCAUAAUUGAGAACCUCAGUAAUCCACUUAAAAAAAAAAGCUCCAUUUUACAGAAAUUUUCCCAACUGACAGUCAGGAUGCCGUUAGCCCAGAACUGAAGCUAAAUACAUGUUGUGUUAAGAAGUCGAAGAAGCUGUUGUGUUAAGUCAAAGGAGCCCAAAGAAAAACCAUCAUUGGUUCAAACAUGACAGUAUUACUCUGUCCAAAUGUAAAGCUUCUUAGCUUUGUUCAAAAUAGCUUAUUGCUUGCAAUUUUAGUGUAAUUACAUGGCUACCUAAACCAUUAGAAUGUCAGUCCUACACAGGCUAGAUCCAGGACAGUAAUUAAAUGAAGCAGAUAACAGAUUUAACCUUGGAAGAAUUAAGAGUCUUUAUACUUUUUGAAGUGUUUUUUUUUUAAUAAUCCCUAAAAAGUCAUACAGUGCAUUGUGCUUCUUUGAAUUAAGUGAUUCAAAAUUAAAACAUCUUUUUAUUCUCUAGACCUUAGCAUUUCAGGAAAGGCAUUACGUUUACAAAUAAUAAGUUGCAUGUAAAUAUGGUCUUAUAUAAAAAAAUCAAAAUCACUGUCAAAUU